RNAcentral lists this ribosomal RNA (253 nucleotides) under uncultured bacterium. RNAcentral's name for it is "partial 16S ribosomal RNA". It matches the Rfam family "Bacterial small subunit ribosomal RNA", at positions 524 to 776 of the family's 1533-position model. The record is from RNAcentral.
GACGGAGGGUGCAAGCGUUGUUCGGAUUGACUGGGCGUAAAGGGCGUGUAGGCGGUUCGUUCAGUCGGGUGUGAAAGCCCGGGGCUCAGCUCCGGAAGUGCGCCCGAAACUGGCGAGCUGGAGCGCGGUAGAGGAGGGUGGAAUUCCUGGUGUAGCGGUGAAAUGCGUAGAUAUCAGGAGGAACACCGGCGGCGAAGGCAGCCCCCUGGGCCAACACUGACGCUCAGGCACGAAAGCGUGGGGAGCAAACAGG